RNAcentral lists this ribosomal RNA (594 nucleotides) under uncultured bacterium. RNAcentral's name for it is "bacterial SSU rRNA". It matches the Rfam family "Bacterial small subunit ribosomal RNA", at positions 510 to 1102 of the family's 1533-position model. The record is from RNAcentral.
AGCAGCCGCGGUAAACGUAGGAGACGAGCGUUAUCCGGAUUUUACUGGGCGUAAAGGGCAAGUAGCGGUGGGCAAAGUUGGACGUGACAUCUCUCGGCUUAACUGGGAGGGGUCGUCCAAAACUAGCCGACUAGAGGGCAGGAGAGGGGAGUGGAAUUCCUAGUGUAGCGGUGGAAUGCUUAGAGAUUAGGAAGAACACCAGUGGCGAAGGCGGCUCUCUGGCCUGACCCUGACGCUGAGAGGCGAAAGCUAGGGGAGCGAACGGGCUUAGAUACCCCGGUAGUCCUAGCUGUAAACGUUGGGUACUGGGUAUUGGGGGGCAACAAACCCUCAGUGCCGAAGCGAACGCGUUAAGUAUCCCGCCUGGGGACUACGGCCGCAAGGUUAAAACUCAAAGGAAUUGACGGGGACCCGCACAAGCAGCGGAGCGUGUGGUUUAAUUCGAUGUGACACGAAGAACCUUACCUGGGUUUGACAUGUAAGUAGUAGGGAAGCGAAAGCGGACCGACCCUUCGGGGAGCUUACACAGGUGCUGCAUGGCUGUCGUCAGCUCGUGCCGUGAGGUGUUGGGUUAAGUCCCACAACGAGCGCAAC